AUAGUGAAGAACAGGAUGAAGACA
RNAcentral lists this non-coding RNA (24 nucleotides) under Cricetulus griseus (Chinese hamster). The record is from RNAcentral. Lineage: Eukaryota; Metazoa; Chordata; Mammalia; Rodentia; Cricetidae.